UACGUAGGGAGCAAGCGUUGUCCGAAAUCAUUGGGCGUAAAGCGCGCGUAGGUGGCCUCAUAAGUCCGCUGUGAAAGUCAAAGGCUCAACCUUUGAAAGCCGAUGGAUACUGCGGAGCUAGAGUACGGAAGAGGCGAGUGGAAUUCCUGGUGUAGCGGUGGAAUGCGCAGAUAUCAGGAGGAACACCAAUAGCGAAGGCAGCUCGCUGGGACGUUACUGACACUGAGGCGCGAAAGCGUGGGGAGCGAACAGG
Molecule: ribosomal RNA, 253 nt
Filed under: uncultured bacterium
Lineage: Bacteria
Description: partial 16S ribosomal RNA
Rfam family: Bacterial small subunit ribosomal RNA
Source: RNAcentral